AACGAACGCUGGCGGCAGGCCUAACACAUGCAAGUCGAACGCCCUAGCAAUAGGGAGUGGCAGACGGGUGAGUAACACGUGGGAACCUUCCCUAUAGUACGGAAUAGCCCAGGGAAACUUGGAGUAAUACCGUAUACGCCCGAGAGGGGUAGGAUUUAUCGCUAUAGGAUGGGCCCGCGUCGGAUUAGCUAGUUGGUGAGGUAAUGGCUCAACAAGGCAACGAUCCGUAGCUGGUUUGAGAGAAUGACCAGCCACACUGGGACUGAGACACGGGCCAGACUCCGACGGGAGGAAGCAGUGGGGAAACUUGGACAAUGGGCGCAAGCCUGAUCCAGCCAGGCCGCGUGAGUGAUGAAGGCCUUAGGGUUGUAAAGCUCUUUUGCCGGGGACGAUAAUGACGGUACCCGGAGAAUAAGUCCCGGCUAACUUCGUGCCAGCCGCCGCGGUAA
Molecule: ribosomal RNA, 449 nt
Filed under: uncultured bacterium
Lineage: Bacteria
Description: partial 16S ribosomal RNA
Rfam family: Bacterial small subunit ribosomal RNA
Source: RNAcentral